RNAcentral lists this ribosomal RNA (510 nucleotides) under uncultured bacterium. RNAcentral's name for it is "partial 16S ribosomal RNA". It matches the Rfam family "Bacterial small subunit ribosomal RNA", at positions 28 to 507 of the family's 1533-position model. The record is from RNAcentral.
GACGAACGCUGGCGGCGUGCUUAACACAUGCAAGUCGAACGAAGAGCGAUGGAAGCUUGCUUCUAUCAAUCUUAGUGGCGAACGGGUGAGUAACGCGUAAUCAACCUUCCCUUCAGAGGUGGACAACAGUUGGAAACGACUGCUAAUACCGCAUACGAUCUAAUCUCGGCAUCGAGGAUAGAUGAAAGGUGGCCUCUACAUGUAAGCUAUCACUUAAGGAGGGGAGUGCGUCUGAUUAGCUAGUUGGCGGGGUAACGGCCCACCAAGGCGAUGAUCAGUAGCCGGUCUGAGAGGAUGAACGGCCACAUUGGGAGGGAGACACGGCCCAGACUCCUACAGGAGGCAGCAGGGGGGAAUCUUCCGCAAUGGACGAAAGACUGACGGAGCAACGCCGCGGGAGUGAUGACGGCCGUCGGGUUGUAAAGCUCUGUUAAUCGGGACGAAAGGCCUUCUGGCGAAUAGUGAGAAGGAUUGACGGUACCGGAAUAGAAAGCCACGGCUAACUACGUG